This 455-nucleotide unclassified non-coding RNA is filed under the name Hevea brasiliensis (rubber tree). The record is from RNAcentral. Lineage: Eukaryota; Viridiplantae; Streptophyta; Magnoliopsida; Malpighiales; Euphorbiaceae.
UGGUGGUCUUUUGAAUGCAACUUUUGGAAAUGCAACCGAAAUGAUUAUUUCAAUAUAUGCGUUAAAGAGUGGGAUGAUUAGGGUUGUUCAACAGUCAUUACUGGGGUCAAUCUUGUCAAAUAUGCUUCUUGUGCUUGGUUGCGCUUUCUUCACUGGUGGGAUUGUUCAUCAUAAGAAGGUGCAGGUUUUCAAUAAGGGUGCUGCUGUUGUGAAUUCGGGAUUGUUGUUGAUGGCUGUUAUGGGAACAACUUUCCCGGCGGUGCUUCAUUUCACCCACACAGAACUUCAUUCCGGAGAGUCAGCAUUAUCUCUUUCAAGAUUUAGCAGUUGUAUAAUGUUAGUUGCAUAUGCAAGCUACCUUUUCUUUCAACUAAAAAGUCAGCAUAAUCUCUAUGGUCCCCUUGAUGAGGAAGUUGGUGAUGAAGUUGAGGAUGAUUCUGAGAUUUAUGCUUGGG